UUUUUUGCUCCACAUAUGCAUGCUUUCUACGAUUCGGAGAUCAGUGCAGCCCAAAGAUCACAUUGGAUUCUCCUCACUACACUCCAUCUUCUAACCUAGUCUGCAUAACGGCUAGGUGCAUCCGUUGCCAAGUUCAUCCAAUAUAUGCCAACCGCAUUGCAAGGACGACCAUAUGCACACACACACCACAGUCCACAGGAGACAGAUAGCUAGCUAGCUUACUCUUUAGUCAUACAUACACUUAUAAAUAGCCACCGGCUCUGUGCUCAUCAGCAAGGCAGAUUAAACAAGUGAAGUGGUCCACAUAAAAAAUGAAGUAAUCAGGUCUAGGGAGUCAAAAUUUGGUUGGUUGUCCACUGGAGUUCUCCUCAAUCCACUUCAGUAGAUAGCUAUGGCUAGGCCUCAUUGCAUUGCACUCUUACAUAACUGUGAUCAUGGGGCCAAAAGCUAGCUAUGUAUAGUGAAGUGCUUGGGGGAACUCCAGUUGACACUCAGCAUUUUCAAGUUAGGUAUGUAAGUGCUUGUACUUUAUGAAUUUGUAAGUGACAGAGAAUGAUUAGGUUUGGAGUCCCUAGGAGUUCCUUUCAAGCACUUUACGACACACUGUAUUGAGAGUUGUCGUGAAGUGUUUGGGGGAACUCUUAGUG
Molecule: precursor RNA, 647 nt
Filed under: Oryza rufipogon (brownbeard rice)
Lineage: Eukaryota; Viridiplantae; Streptophyta; Magnoliopsida; Poales; Poaceae
Description: putative precursor microRNA R395ab
Rfam family: mir-395 microRNA precursor family (bases 566-647)
Source: RNAcentral